RNAcentral lists this small RNA (29 nucleotides) under Bombyx mori (domestic silkworm). Its description in RNAcentral is "ovarian small RNA-34030". Lineage: Eukaryota; Metazoa; Arthropoda; Insecta; Lepidoptera; Bombycidae. The record is from RNAcentral.
UGCGUUCUUCAAGCCGAAAGGCAUACGCU